UUAGGAUCAAGUUAUAUUUAAAAUAUAUAUUUAUUGCCAAACCUGCAUUUUUACAUGUGCAGGCUUGUCUGCAUGUUAAUCGCGUUGGAAGUUGUGAUACUUGGUAAUCCCGCAAUUAUUUUACUAAUUUUACCUUUGCCAGUCCCAAGCCUAGAUUCGAAAGGAGGGUUGCGUUAAGUCAGCAACCAUCAUAAAACUUCUUCAACAUCUCUAUAAUGAAUCUCAAUGGUGAAACAUGAUUCAUAAAGCUUAACUCUAAAUAAUUAAGCUAAAGAUCGAAUGAUUGAAUGAAGAACCUUCCAUUAAGUCUCUCUACUAAAUUACCCACUUGCCGUUGGCCCACCAAAAGCAACCUUAGCUUAGACGUUCCCCCAAGAAACUUUAUUUUUUUGCAGUGGUCCCACUUGAUUAAAUACGUCAACAUGGUUAGGUAGCAUUCCUUUAAUACGGGAGGGUCAUGCGUCGUAGGUGGACGCCACAAUCACAUCAUGUACGACGUCUUUCCGUUUCAAAGUAGGCUUCGCUUUGUUUUCUUAGGGAGGUGCCUGGCAAAUUUAGAGGACGACAAAAGCCACUAAGGUUUCUAAUCAAUUACAGUACUAAAGAUUAGGAAGCUUCCCUUCCUUUUUGCCCUUCCAACAUCUCCAAAAUAUCCCUAUACAUAGGGAUUAAUUUAGACCAAGGUUUUAAAAAUUGGUGAUCAAGAAUGGAAUUAGCCAGUCUUGAUCCCACAAAAUAUCGGGCCGGUUCGCCUUAUGAACUGAUCGGUUCUAUAGAGAAUAGGUUUUAUUUUAUUUUUUAAUAUUGGUUCGCCUUAUGAACUGAUCGGUUUUAUAGAGAAUAGGUUUUAUUUUAUUUUUUAAUAUUUUUUUUAAAUUUUUUUAUUAUCUAUUUUUUAAAGUUUUUACUCCCUGGUUCAUUAGGCCAAAUCGCCCGAUCCGGAUCAAUUUUUUGGAGAAGCUAUCCAGGUCAUCAAACCAUAUUUUUAAACCCCAAAUUAGACCGCAAAUCUCCUCUCUCUUCUAGUUGAUUUCUUGUUUUCUUGGAACAUGUACUACUAUAUUCCAAACAUGCAAUGUACCCACCAUUUUCGGUAAACAACUAGGCACUUUCGUAAUUUUCCAAGCACUAGUGGUAAUUUCCAACCACCCCCAUCUGUACAUAUAUUGCUCAAAUUCUUUGCCCCUAAGUGGAUCUGAUGCCUUACAUUUCUCAUGGGUUCCUCGCUCAAGUUUUCCAUAGCGAUCUUAGCCAUAAUUCUCCUAAGUGGUUUUCCGGUCAAAGUACUUGGUGGAUAUGGGAGAGAUGUACAUCAACAUAAAGCCUCUCACAUGACCGGAAAUUUUGGCCGGAAAGUUGGGGCAUACCAUCAUUUUCCAAUGGACUCUGUGAUUUUAGGACGAGGUGUUGGUUGUUGCCCGCGUUCACCCGUUGCCAAUCGACCGAGAUCGUGGUUGAGAAUCAUUUUUGGAAAAGGACUGAACUUCUAUCAGAGUUAAGAUCUGGUGUAUUAAGGGUCGUGAAUUCCAAAGGUAGUGCGACUGCAGAUUGGUAAACAAUCUUUCUUAAUCUUUGUAAAGAUUGAAUAAGGUAUUUUGCCUCCAAAGAAGGUAGUAGUUGUUAAUAAGACCAUACUGCUAAAAUCUAAUAACCAGGUGCAGCAACCAAGAGACUUUGCAACCAGGUUAUGAAAUGAUAGACCAAAAAAGAGAGAAGAAUGGAAUUUUUGGCCUCUCAUCAAAAAAUUCCUACAAAAUUGUCGGAAAGUAGCCUCCCGACCAUCGGAUUUGAAGGGGAAGAGGAAUAGGCAUAACCGAAAUUGGAGACGGUUACAAAUUUUAAAAAUUUGAAUAAGAGGUGGAUUCCGGUGGGAAGAUUUCUUGAAACGACCAUCAGAUUUUUGGAUUUGCAUGUGCUUUUAAGGGGGAUCUUUUAUCAUCAUCUGGGGUAAGGACACGUGUAGGAGUUGACGUUCCCGUUUUAGUGAAGGACCAUUCCGAUGGUGGUGAUCGUGCAGACAUUCCUUUAGGUAACUUCGUGAAACUUUCCCCGAGAUGCAAGGCUGUGGAAAACGGUGCGAAUGAUGACUUUCCUUAAGAAAAUCCAUCGCCCCCUUACGUGGCAUGUAUGCAGGUAGACGUUUCUGUAAGUGAAUCUUCCUCAUAUCCUCCUUUUGAGAAGGGGAAGAUGAAGGGGUUUUUGGGCUCCGUUAUGUGGUUUCUAUUACUGCAAAAUUUGGUGGCAUCAGUUUCUUUUCCAAGAUGAUGGAGCAAAUUUUGCCCCCUUACGUGGCAUGUAUGCAGGUAGACGUUUCUGUAAGUGAAUCUUCCUCAUAUCCUCCGUUUGAGAAAGGGAAGAUGAAGGGGUUUUUGGGCUCCAUAAUGAGGUUUCUAUUACUGUAAAAUUUGGUGGCAUCGGUUUCUUUUCAAAGAUGAUGGAGCAAAUUUUGGUGAGUGUUUCUUGUGUAUGUCAAGCUCAGGAUGUAUCCACUGCUUGCUAGGGGAGCUGCUAUAAGGGGUCAGAUUCAGAUAGACCAAGAGCAACAGGCUCAAGGGAUCGUGGGAGAUGUUAAUGAUUUUGAUCCCACUUAUGCGGUGGUGAAGGGUGUUGUUGGGGAGCCUUUGGCUAUGGUGGCUCAGCCGGUGCCUUCAAAUCUUUUACUUACAUUCUUCUCUAUCUAUGAAAGUGAUGACUCCAUGGUAGCUGAGCCACCUGCGCAUGGGGGCAAUUCUUCAGACACCUCAAAGAACAAACAUAAGGAAGCAAAGCAUGAGGAGGUGGAUGAGUUGGAAAUAGAGAGCAGAAAGGUGAUGGAUAUGUUCGAUGAUAUGAGAGCCGAUUUCAAUGUCCUUAUAGCUGUUAUACUAGAUGAGAUGAAAGUUAAAAAGAGAGAAGAAAGAGCUAAGGUUGCCUUGGAAGUGGCUUAGAAUAAGAAGAGUAAAGCAAAGAUGGAGCAAACCCCAAUUAAGAAGGCCGAGAAGAAGAAAAAAGAAGGAACAAAGACAUCGAGGUCCUCUACUCAUAUUGCAACAAGGUUUGGAUUCUUUGAUGGGCUUCAAUCGCAAGCAAUUCAGAUGGAGGAACCAGACUUAGUAGAACUCAGUAGUGAGAUCACUACUUAUGAAGCCACCAUCUCGGAAGACGAGGAUGCGGCUUUGCAAGAAGCUCUUAUGCUUGAUGAAGCCUAUUUUGGACCUUGCAUCAAUGGUCUAGGUUCUUCUUUUCACCCACCUCUUUAAAUGAAUAUAAUUUCUUGGAAUGUUGGCGGUUUGGGAGAUCCUAGGAGAAAAAGAGAUGUCCGAUUUUUUGUGCCUAAAUAUAAACUUGUUGUUUUGAUGCUUCAGGAAACCAAAUUGUCUAUCCCCACUGUUGAAGGGGUCAAGGAUAUUUGAGGUAAUGAAGCAGUUGACUUUAUGGGUGUUGAUUCUGUGGGAGCCUUUGGGGGUCUGUGGAUGUUGUGGGACCCUCAAGUUUUGCAAAUUUUUUGUUCUAGUAUUAGGGAUAGAAUUGUGUUAUUACGUUUUUGUGGUCCUGCAGUUGAUUUUUCCUAGGGUUUGCUAAAUUACUAUGGUCAUAAUUUAAGUGCUUCUAAAGAGUUGUUUAUUAAUGAUCUCUUUGAUGUUUUGAAUGACUUUCUUUAUCCUGUUUGUCUUGGAGGGGAUUUCAAUUUGUUCCGAUGGCCAGAAGAUUUUUCUUACGGGACGCCAUUGAAUGGGGCCAUGCGUAUGUUAAAUUACUUUAUUGAAAUCAUGCUCUGGUGGCUUUACCUAUUGUUGGAACUAUUUAUACAUGGUCGAACAAUAACACUUCUAAGUUUUGAAUGUCUAAGAUCAACAUAUUUUUGG
Amborella trichopoda is the source of this 3845-nucleotide non-coding RNA. The record is from RefSeq and is a predicted model, not a curated record. NCBI's taxonomy places the organism in Eukaryota, Viridiplantae, Streptophyta, Magnoliopsida, Amborellales, Amborellaceae.